This 253-nucleotide ribosomal RNA is filed under the name uncultured bacterium. Its description in RNAcentral is "partial 16S ribosomal RNA". It matches the Rfam family "Bacterial small subunit ribosomal RNA", at positions 524 to 776 of the family's 1533-position model. The record is from RNAcentral.
UACGGGGGGUGCAAGCGUUACUCGGAAUCACUGGGCGUAAAGAGAGUGUAGGCGUCCUGAUAAGUCAGAUGUGAAAUCCUAUGGCUCAACCAUAGAACUGCAUUUGAAACUGUCAGGAUAGAGUUCAGAAGGGGCAGGUGGAAUUAGUGGUGUAGGGGUAAAAUCCGUAGAGAUCACUAGGAAUACCCAAAGCGAAGGCGACCUGCUGGGAUGAUACUGACGCUAAGACUCGAAAGCGUGGGGAGCAAACAGG